UGCCAGCAGCUGCGGUUAUAUUCAAAAGUAGAUCAGAAGAAAAAAGAAUUAAUAAAAAUAAUCAUUAAUUUGGUCUAAUAAAACUUAUGUAAAAUGAUUAUUGGGGUAUUUAUACAACUAGAAAAGAAAAAUGGAUUAGUACCCAUGUAUUAUAUUUUGAUUCUUUAAUAGUAAAUUAUAAAAUUAAAAUUUCAUGGCUGCGCCUGUUAAGAAUUAUUAGAGAAUUUUGGAAAAUAAAUUGAUACUCCACAAUUCUAUUUACUGCCCAAGCAUAUUUAACGUAUGGCUGUGUCAAAAUUAUUCGCAUAGUUUUAUCACCAAGUAACAUGUAAUUUGGGCAGGAAUUUCUAAAAUGCAGUUUAAGUAUAUGACAACUCAUUAGCUGUAUUCCGUAUUUAAUAGUAGGAGUGUCCGUCUUCGAAUAUUUUCUUAAAGGGGUUCAAAUUGUCCGUCAUUCUCUAUUAGAGAUAAGUCGUAACAAAGU
Molecule: ribosomal RNA, 484 nt
Filed under: Halicyclops sp. 1 IK-2020
Lineage: Eukaryota; Metazoa; Arthropoda; Copepoda; Cyclopoida; Cyclopidae
Description: partial small subunit ribosomal RNA
Source: RNAcentral